This 253-nucleotide ribosomal RNA is filed under the name uncultured bacterium. Its description in RNAcentral is "partial 16S ribosomal RNA". It matches the Rfam family "Bacterial small subunit ribosomal RNA", at positions 524 to 776 of the family's 1533-position model. The record is from RNAcentral.
UACGUAGGGGGCAAGCGUUAAUCGGAAUUACUGGGCGUAAAGCGUGCGCAGGCGGCUAAGCAAGUCCGAUGUGAAAUCCCCGGGCUCAACCUGGGAACUGCAUUUGUGACUGCAUGGCUAGAGUACGGUAGAGGGGGAUGGAAUUCCGCGUGUAGCAGUGAAAUGCGUAGAUAUGCGGAGGAACACCGAUGGCGAAGGCAAUCCCCUGGACCUGUACUGACGCUCAUGCACGAAAGCGUGGGGAGCAAACAGG